RNAcentral lists this ribosomal RNA (499 nucleotides) under uncultured bacterium. RNAcentral describes it as "bacterial SSU rRNA". It matches the Rfam family "Bacterial small subunit ribosomal RNA", at positions 338 to 833 of the family's 1533-position model. The record is from RNAcentral.
CCUACGGGAGGCAGCAGUGAGGAAUAUUGGACAAUGGGCGCAAGCCUGAUCCAGCCAUGCCGCGUGCAGGAAGAAGCAUCUAUGGUGUGUAAACUGCUUUUGUACAGGAAGAAACACUCCCUCGUGAGGGAGCUUGACGGUACUGUAAGAAUAAGGACCGGCUAACUCCGUGCCAGCAGCCGCGGUAAUACGGAGGGUCCGAGCGUUAUCCGGAAUCAUUGGGUUUAAAGGGUCCGUAGGCGGUUUAAUAAGUCAGUGGUGAAAUCUGGUCGCUCAACGAUCAAACGGCCAUUGAUACCUGUUAGACUUGAAUUAUAAGGAAGUAACUAGAAUAUGUAGUGUAGCGGUGAAAUGCUUAGAUAUUACAUGGAAUACCAAUUGCGAAGGCAGGUUACUACUUAUGGAUUGACGCUGAUGGACGAAAGCGUGGGGAGCGAACAGGAUUAGAUACCCUGGUAGUCCACGCCGUAAACGAUGGAUACUAGCUGUUCGGAAGCAA